Molecule: ribosomal RNA, 237 nt
Filed under: uncultured bacterium
Lineage: Bacteria
Description: partial 16S ribosomal RNA
Rfam family: Bacterial small subunit ribosomal RNA
Source: RNAcentral
AACGUAGGAGGCGAGCGUUAUCCGGAGUUACUGGGCGUAAAGCGUGCGUAGGUGGUUUGUUAAGUCUGCUGUGAAAUCCCCGGGCUCAACCUGGGAAUGGCAGUGGAUACUGGCAAGCUAGAGUGCGGUAGAGGGUAGUGGAAUUCCCGGUGUAGCGGUGAAAAUGCGUAGAGAUCGGGAGGAACACCAGUGGCGAAGGGCGGCUACCUGGACCAGCACUGACACUCAGGCACGAAA